GGGUUUUCGUCUCCCAAAUAAUUUUGGUAGGACCUCGUUAAUAAUCGGUGGGAUGUGUGGGAUGUACGCUCUAAUAAGAUGGGACGUGGAUACCUGGAUGAAAAAGGUGGACAUCAUAAUAAAAGAAACCGAAAAGACCUAUGGGAAAAGCAAG
Long non-coding RNA from Aphidius gifuensis, 154 nucleotides. RefSeq lists it as uncharacterized. The transcript has 3 exons. Lineage: Eukaryota; Metazoa; Arthropoda; Insecta; Hymenoptera; Braconidae. The record is from RefSeq and is a predicted model, not a curated record.